This 1531-nucleotide ribosomal RNA is filed under the name Escherichia coli DEC9A. RNAcentral describes it as "bacterial SSU rRNA". It matches the Rfam family "Bacterial small subunit ribosomal RNA". The record is from RNAcentral. Lineage: Bacteria; Pseudomonadati; Pseudomonadota; Gammaproteobacteria; Enterobacterales; Enterobacteriaceae.
AGAGUUUGAUCAUGGCUCAGAUUGAACGCUGGCGGCAGGCCUAACACAUGCAAGUCGAACGGUAACAGAAAGCAGCUUGCUGCUUUGCUGACGAGUGGCGGACGGGUGAGUAAUGUCUGGGAAACUGCCUGAUGGAGGGGGAUAACUACUGGAAACGGUAGCUAAUACCGCAUAACGUCGCAAGACCAAAGAGGGGGACCUUCGGGCCUCUUGCCAUCGGAUGUGCCCAGAUGGGAUUAGCUUGUUGGUGGGGUAACGGCUCACCAAGGCGACGAUCCCUAGCUGGUCUGAGAGGAUGACCAGCCACACUGGAACUGAGACACGGUCCAGACUCCUACGGGAGGCAGCAGUGGGGAAUAUUGCACAAUGGGCGCAAGCCUGAUGCAGCCAUGCCGCGUGUAUGAAGAAGGCCUUCGGGUUGUAAAGUACUUUCAGCGGGGAGGAAGGGAGUAAAGUUAAUACCUUUGCUCAUUGACGUUACCCGCAGAAGAAGCACCGGCUAACUCCGUGCCAGCAGCCGCGGUAAUACGGAGGGUGCAAGCGUUAAUCGGAAUUACUGGGCGUAAAGCGCACGCAGGCGGUUUGUUAAGUCAGAUGUGAAAUCCCCGGGCUCAACCUGGGAACUGCAUCUGAUACUGGCAAGCUUGAGUCUCGUAGAGGGGGUAGAAUUCCAGGUGUAGCGGUGAAAUGCGUAGAGAUCUGGAGGAAUACCGGUGGCGAAGGCGGCCCCCUGGACGAAGACUGACGCUCAGGUGCGAAAGCGUGGGGAGCAAACAGGAUUAGAUACCCUGGUAGUCCACGCCGUAAACGAUGUCGACUUGGAGGUUGUGCCCUUGAGGCGUGGCUUCCGGAGCUAACGCGUUAAGUCGACCGCCUGGGGAGUACGGCCGCAAGGUUAAAACUCAAAUGAAUUGACGGGGGCCCGCGACAAGCGGUGGAGCAUGUGGUUUAAUUCGAUGCAACGCGAAGAACCUUACCUGGUCUUGACAUCCACGGAAGUUUUCAGAGAUGAGAAUGUGCCUUCGGGAACCGUGAGACAGGUGCUGCAUGGCUGUCGUCAGCUCGUGUUGUGAAAUGUUGGGUUAAGUCCCGCAACGAGCGCAACCCUUAUCCUUUGUUGCCAGCGGUCCGGCCGGGAACUCAAAGGAGACUGCCAGUGAUAAACUGGAGGAAGGUGGGGAUGACGUCAAGUCAUCAUGGCCCUUACGACCAGGGCUACACACGUGCUACAAUGGCGCAUACAAAGAGAAGCGACCUCGCGAGAGCAAGCGGACCUCAUAAAGUGCGUCGUAGUCCGGAUUGGAGUCUGCAACUCGACUCCAUGAAGUCGGAAUCGCUAGUAAUCGUGGAUCAGAAUGCCACGGUGAAUACGUUCCCGGGCCUUGUACACACCGCCCGUCACUACCAUGGGAGUGGGUUGCAAAAGAAGUAGGUAGCUUAACCUUCGGGAGGGCGCUUACCACUUUGUGAUUCAUGACUGGGGUGAAGUCGUAACAAGGUAACCGUAGGGGAACCUGCGGUUGGAUCACCU